This 500-nucleotide ribosomal RNA is filed under the name uncultured bacterium. RNAcentral describes it as "partial 16S ribosomal RNA". It matches the Rfam family "Bacterial small subunit ribosomal RNA", at positions 30 to 523 of the family's 1533-position model. The record is from RNAcentral.
AUUGAACGCUGGCGGCAUGCCUUACACAUGCAAGUCGAACGGCAGCACGGGAGCAAUCCUGGUGGCGAGUGGCGAACGGGUGAGUAAAGUAUCGGAACGUGCCCAGUCGUGGGGGAUAACGUAGCGAAAGUUACGCUAAUACCGCAUACGAUCUAUGGAUGAAAGCGGGGGAUCGCAAGACCUCGCGCGAUUGGAGCGGCCGAUAUCAGAUUAGGUAGUUGGUGGGGUAAAGGCUCACCAAGCCGACGAUCUGUAGCUGGUCUGAGAGGACGACCAGCCACACUGGGACUGAGACACGGUCCAGACUCCUACGGGAGGCAGCAGUGGGGAAUUUUGGACAAUGGGCGAAAGCCUGAUCCAGCCAUUCCGCGUGCAGGAUGAAGGCCCUCGGGUUGUAAACUGCUUUUGUACAGAACGAAAAGGUUUCUACUAAUACUAGGAGCUCAUGACGGUACUGUAAGAAUUAGCACCGGCUAACUACGUGCCAGCCGCCGCAGUAA